AUGGACGCGAAGGACAUCCUCGGGCUCCAGAAGACCUCCUUCCCGUCCGCCCAGGAGAAGAAGUCGCGGCCGCCCAAGGAGCCGCAGCGCAAGCCCGAUGGCGUCUCGCGCGAGGUGUACGCGCUCACCGGAGGGGUCGGAAUGGCGCCGCUCAUGCCGACCAUCGAGGCCUCGCACCUGAAGCGCCGGCCUGCUGUCGAGAAGGAGAAGGUAGCAUGGCAGUGGCUACCUUUCACGUCAUCUGCACGAACUGACAAUCUGCAACUUUACCACUGGGUUAGAGUUGUAAAUAAUGUUCCACCAACUGGUGAUUAUGACUUUGCAAAAUAUAACACGAAGGUGGAUGUUCUUAAAUACACCGAUGAGGAGUACGAGAAAUAUUUAACUGAACCUACAUGGAGCAGAGAAGAAACAGACCAGCUAUUUGAAUUAUGUCAGCGCUUUGACCUUCGUUUCAUAGUAAUAGCAGAUAGGUUUCCAACUGCUCGCAGCGUGGAAGAUCUAAAGAGCCGUUAUUAUUCAGUUACUAGGGCCCUUCUAAUUGCAAGAGCUCGAUCAUUCGAUGAAGUUGCUGGAAACCCUCUUGUGAAGGAAACCUUCAAUGCUGCUCAUGAGACCGAGAGAAAACGUGCAUUGUCUGCACUCUUCUCCCAAACAAAACAGCAAGAACGAAAGGAUGCCGAGGUUUUAGCAGAAGCAAAACGCAUUAUGGAAUCUCGUGCUGCUAAUAAAAAUGUGGAAGAAGCCGGAGCACCGACGAGCAUCCCUAAUGCUGCGGUUCCUGCUGACGGUGUAUCUCCCUUGAGCAACAAUCUUCCAUCUUCAGCUGCUACACAUCCAGCUGCAGCAGCGAAUACCUCCAUACCUGAUACACUGCGGAUGCUUAAAGUGUAUUUGAGAACCCAUGCACUUGAUCAAAUGGUUCAAGCAGUAACUGCUUCAGCUGGCAUUAGAAUGAUUAAAAGGGUGGAUCAAACUCUACAAGAUCUUGGGGUAAAUUUGAAGCCUAAGGUCCCAACAAAAGCAGUUUGUGCCGAACAUCUUGAGUUACGGAAUGAGAUACUCACACUGCUUAACAUACAGAAGCAGCUACAAAAUAAAGAGGCUGAAGUUUUAGCAAACAGAGAAAGUUCAUUCACAGAGGCACCGACCACACCUAAGCGUUCUAAUAGAGAUAUUGAUCGACCCUUUGUCCCUGAUAUGGCUGGGUUUGGAGGUGAGAGAGCAGUCAAACGGGACCACAAGAGGAAGGCCACUGGAAGAUUUGAUGCACCCCCCUCACCAACCCAGGGCAAGAGGCCUCGGAAGAUGAAGGCGUCUGAUUGA
Molecule: ribosomal RNA, 1326 nt
Filed under: Triticum aestivum (bread wheat)
Lineage: Eukaryota; Viridiplantae; Streptophyta; Magnoliopsida; Poales; Poaceae
Description: partial small subunit ribosomal RNA
Source: RNAcentral